RNAcentral lists this ribosomal RNA (440 nucleotides) under uncultured bacterium. RNAcentral describes it as "partial 16S ribosomal RNA". It matches the Rfam family "Bacterial small subunit ribosomal RNA", at positions 338 to 795 of the family's 1533-position model. The record is from RNAcentral.
CCUACGGGGGGCUGCAGUGGGGAAUAUUGCACAAUGGGGGAAACCCUGAUGCAGCGACGCCGCGUGAGUGAAGAAGUAUUUCGGUACGUAAAGCUCCAUCAGCCGGGAAGAAAAUGACGGUACCUGACUAAGAAGCCCCGGCUAACUACGUGCCAGCAGCCGCGGUAAUACGUAGGGGGCAAGCGUUAUCCGGAUUUACUGGGUGUAAAGGGAGCGUAGACGGCAGCGCAAGUCUGGAGUGAAAUCCCAGGGAUUAACCAUGGAACUGCUUUGGAAACUGUGCAGCUAGAGUGCAGGAGAGGUAAGCGGAAUUCCUAGUGUAGCGGUGAAAUGCGUAGAUAUUAGGAGGAACACCAGUGGCGAAGGCGGCUUACUGGACUGUAACUGACGUUGAGGCUCGAAAGCGUGGGGAGCAAACAGGAUUAGAUACCCGAGUAGUC